GCACUGGUGGCUCAGUGGUAGAAUUCUCGCCUCCUAUGCGGGAGACCCUGGUUCAAUUCCCGACCAAUGCA
Trichechus manatus latirostris (Florida manatee) is the source of this 71-nucleotide non-coding RNA. Lineage: Eukaryota; Metazoa; Chordata; Mammalia; Sirenia; Trichechidae. The record is from the annotation of a RefSeq genome assembly.